UUGGAAGGGAAACGAUUGAAGUCAGUCGUACCUAUGGGUAAUCAGCCUUUUGGGUGUGAUUUUGUGGAGCGUGAGGAGUUAAACGCCUUCAUGCCUGCAUAUUCGUGCACUUUGGGUGUACUUGCCCGUGUGUAAGUUAACAUCAAUUUUGGUGGUCAUAAAAUGGCUGGAGGAAUGUAGCUUCGAUCUUGUAUUGAAGUGUUAUAGCCUUCGGUAGAUGUGACGAUCGGGAUUGAGGAUUGCAACGGAUACCCUUCGGGGCUACCUGUCUGAUCUCUGAUUGUUGCUCUGGUGCCGAAAGCAUGCUUACGGUUAUCAAAGUCGAUGGUCAAUAGGUUAGAAUGGGUUAAAUUCGUUAAG
This 360-nucleotide ribosomal RNA is filed under the name uncultured Glomeromycotina. RNAcentral's name for it is "LSU rRNA". The record is from RNAcentral. Lineage: Eukaryota; Fungi; Glomeromycota.